This 306-nucleotide ribosomal RNA is filed under the name Triticum aestivum (bread wheat). RNAcentral describes it as "partial small subunit ribosomal RNA". The record is from RNAcentral. Lineage: Eukaryota; Viridiplantae; Streptophyta; Magnoliopsida; Poales; Poaceae.
AUGGUUCGUGGCCGCUGGCUAGAGGCGGUUGCGUCCCCACCUCGUGUGUUCUGUGCUGUCGAUGUCUGGCACCACUGUGCUAAGUUGUCUCGUCAGGCCAUGAAGGGCUGGGGGACUAACCUUGGCACUGAGCUCCGGGCCCGUAAAGGGGCCCUGUUGGAUCAGAUCAAGGUACUGGAUGGACUUGCAGAUGGACACGACCUGUCUCCUGAUGACUGGCUUAGGAGAUAUGCACUUGAGGCCUCGCUCAUGGACAUCUACAAGAGCGAGGAGCUAUUCUGGCAACGUCGAGGGGGCCAGAACUAG